RNAcentral lists this ribosomal RNA (498 nucleotides) under uncultured bacterium. Its description in RNAcentral is "partial 16S ribosomal RNA". It matches the Rfam family "Bacterial small subunit ribosomal RNA", at positions 30 to 523 of the family's 1533-position model. The record is from RNAcentral.
AUUGAACGCUGGCGGCAUGCCUUACACAUGCAAGUCGAACGGUAACAGGUCUUCGGAUGCUGACGAGUGGCGAACGGGUGAGUAAUACAUCGGAACGUGCCUAGUAGUGUGGGAUAACUACUCGAAAGAGUGGCUAAUACCGCAUGAGAUCUACGGAUGAAAGCAGGGGAUCGCAAGACCUUGUGCUACUAGAGCGGCCGAUGGCAGAUUAGGUAGUUGGUGGGAUAAAAGCUUACCAAGCCGACGAGCUGUAGCUGGUCUGAGAGGACGAUCAGCCACACUGGGACUGAGACACGGCCCAGACUCCUACGGGAGGCAGCAGUGGGGAAUUUUGGACAAUGGGCGAAAGCCUGAUCCAGCAAUGCCGCGUGCAGGAUGAAGGCCUUCGGGUUGUAAACUGCUUUUGUACGGAACGAAAAGCCCUGGGCUAAUACCCUGGGGUCAUGACGGUACCGUAAGAAUAAGCACCGGCUAACUACGUGCCAGCCGCCGCCGUAA